Eriocheir sinensis (Chinese mitten crab) is the source of this 1024-nucleotide long non-coding RNA. RefSeq lists it as uncharacterized. The record is from RefSeq and is a predicted model, not a curated record. The transcript is spliced from 3 exons. NCBI's taxonomy places the organism in Eukaryota, Metazoa, Arthropoda, Malacostraca, Decapoda, Varunidae.
CAGAACUCAGCCACCCCCAGAGGAAUGUGGCAUUAUCCAACCCCACACACAGCUGCUCAGUGUCCCCCAAGCCACACAUGAAAAUAAUGAGCUGCAGCCUGACACUGAUGAGUGUGCUCCCCAUUGCACUGCACCAGCUCCAUGUGCUGAUUUUGGGUGUGAAACUGAAGGGGUUGGAGGAAACCCGACUCGGCCAUCAAGCUCACCAAAAUACAAGACAUCAAAACUGCAAUUGUUGCAGAAGACGGUCUGCCGUCUGCGCCGGCAGGUGAGGCAGCUCAAAGCUCAGGCCAUUACCACUCCUGGGCAGUUUUUGGCCAAAGCCAGCAAUUUCCUAGAUCCAAAAGUGGUGGAUUUUUUCAAAGGACAGGUUCAACAUGCUGCAAGAUCUAAGCCUGGUAGGAGAUAUGGGGUACAAGAGAGGAGGUUUGCUCUGGCCUUGUACUAUCAAAGUCCAAAGGCUUAUCGAUUUCUCAGCACAGUAUUUCAUUUGCCUUCAGUUUCAACACUUCACUCAUGGCUCAGGGGUAUUUCACUAAAUGUUGGCUGGAGCAAACAGACUCUGACAGCCCUGAAGAAAAGAGCACAGGCUUUGUCAAAAGAAGAGACACUUUGUGGGAUUGCAUUUGAUGCCAUGAGUAUUAAAGAAUCAUUGCAUUUUGACAAAGCCUCUGAUUCUAUCAUAGGAAGGGAGGAUUUCGGAGAGCAUGGGAAGAGUUUGAAACCAGCAAAUCAUGCACUCGUGUUCAUGGUUAAGGGCUUAUUGAAAAAAUGGAAACUUGUUUUAGGAUGUUUCUUUUAUUCGGGAGGGAUUAAAACUUGUAAAAUCAGGGAACUGUAUGAAACAGCAAUAAAAAAAGUCAAGGACACGGGACACAGAGUUAUGUUUACAGUUUGUGAUCAAGAGGGAGUGCAUCGUUCCUUGUUCCAGACUCUUGGCAUGACAACUGAAAAUCCUUCCUUUACAGUCGAUGGUGAGAAGGUUCACUUUUUUUUUGAUUCUCCACAUCUUUUGAAAAGCCUG